AACGCACAUUGCGCCCUUUGGUAUUCCGAAGGGCAUGCCUGUUCGAGCGUCAUUAUCACCCCUCAAGCCCUCGGCUUGGUGUUGGACGGUUUGGUGGAGGCCCCCUCGGGGGCUCCUGCCCCUCCCAAAGACAAUGACGGCGGCCUCGUUGGACCCCCGGUACACUGAGUUCUUCACGGGACACGUAUCGGACACAUGGGUUUACGGGACACGGUCUGCCUCCCCUCAGGGAGAAUCUUUCUAAGGUUGACCUCGGAUCAGGUAGGGAUACCCGCUGAACUUAA
Molecule: unclassified non-coding RNA, 284 nt
Filed under: Exophiala sp.
Lineage: Eukaryota; Fungi; Ascomycota; Eurotiomycetes; Chaetothyriales; Herpotrichiellaceae
Also listed under: 3 other names
Description: partial contains 5.8S ribosomal RNA, internal transcribed spacer 2, and large subunit ribosomal RNA
Rfam family: 5.8S ribosomal RNA (bases 1-52)
Source: RNAcentral